AUUGAACGCUGGCGGCAGGCCUAACACAUGCAAGUCGAGCGGAUGAAGGGAGCUUGCUUCUGGAUUCAGCGGCGGACGGGUGAGUAAUGCCUAGGAAUAUGCCUGGUAGUGGGGGAUAACGUCCGGAAAUGGGCGCUAAUACCGCAUACGUCCUGAGGGAGAAAGUGGGGGAUCUUCGGAUCUCACGCUAUCAGAUGAGCCUAGGUCGGAUUAGCUAGUUGGUGGGGUAAAGGCCUACCAAGGCGACGAUCCGUAACUGGUCUGAGAGGAUGAUCAGUCACACUGGAACUGAGACACGGUCCAGACUCCUACGGGAGGCAGCAGUGGGGAAUAUUGGACAAUGGGCGAAAGCCUGAUCCAGCCAUGCCGCGUGUGUGAAGAAGGUCUUCGGAUUGUAAAGCACUUUAAGUUGGGAGGAAGGGCAGUAAGUUAAUACCUUGCUGUUUUGACGUUACCAACAGAAUAAGCACCGGCUAACUUCGUG
Molecule: ribosomal RNA, 484 nt
Filed under: uncultured bacterium
Lineage: Bacteria
Description: partial 16S ribosomal RNA
Rfam family: Bacterial small subunit ribosomal RNA
Source: RNAcentral